ACAGUCUGAAAAUUGCCUUUGGCCUCUCUGUAGCUUUGGGUAAUAUAUCUGUGCCAACAGAGAUCUGGGGCAUUAAGCUUAUUACCCAUAACAAUAUGUGUGUGUAAUGAAACCCAUGUCCCUACACUG
This is a small nucleolar RNA of Bombina bombina (fire-bellied toad), 129 nucleotides long. RefSeq annotates it as small nucleolar RNA ACA64. The record is from RefSeq and is a predicted model, not a curated record. NCBI's taxonomy places the organism in Eukaryota, Metazoa, Chordata, Amphibia, Anura, Bombinatoridae. The transcript has a single exon.